CCUACGGGAGGCAGCAGUGGGGAAUAUUGGACAAUGGGGGCAACCCUGAUCCAGCCAUGCCGCGUGUGUGAAGAAGGCCCUCGGGUUGUAAAGCACUUUCAGUGAGGAAGAACGCCUGGUGGUUAAUACCCAUCAGGAAAGACAUCACUCACAGAAGAAGCACCGGCUAACUCCGUGCCAGCAGCCGCGGUAAUACGGAGGGUGCGAGCGUUAAUCGGAAUUACUGGGCGUAAAGCGCGCGUAGUUGGCUUGAUAAGCCGGUUGUGAAAGCCCCGGGCUCAACCUGGGAACGGCAUCCGGAACUGUCAAGCUAGAGUGCAGGAGAGGAAGGUAGAAUUCCCGGUGUAGCGGUGAAAUGCGUAGAGAUCGGGAGGAAUACCAGUGGCGAAGGCGGCCUUCUGGACUGACACUGACACUGAGGUGCGAAAGCGUGGGUAGCAAACAGGAUUAGAUACCCCAGUAGUC
RNAcentral lists this ribosomal RNA (465 nucleotides) under Vreelandella stevensii. RNAcentral's name for it is "partial 16S ribosomal RNA". It matches the Rfam family "Bacterial small subunit ribosomal RNA", at positions 338 to 795 of the family's 1533-position model. Lineage: Bacteria; Pseudomonadati; Pseudomonadota; Gammaproteobacteria; Oceanospirillales; Halomonadaceae. The record is from RNAcentral.